AAAGAAAAGGUGUGUCAUGGCUUUGGCAUCAAAGGACACAUAAAAAAGAAUUGCCCGGCAACGAAUAAGAAGAAUCAACCGGCGAUUUCUAAACGUCCGUUGGCACCCUCUACUACACGACUUCCCCCACUGUCACGCCUCGCCCCGAAACCACUACCAAUUUGGCACGAUUUGGGCGGGCCGGGCGGACUACCGAACAGACAGCACCUCCCAUGUCCACCCAAGGCUCAACAACAGGAAUGUGUACAAGAAUUUACCCAGAAAAUUUAAAUUCUAAACAUACACAUUCAACGGGGAACAAACAGUGCCAACAACUAAGAGCAAGUGAUCCACAUGAUAUACAAGUGAGAUAAAGAAAGUAUUUUAUUGACUAUUACAAUAGUUUUGCAUCUUUUUACAUGCACAUCUUUUCCUCAAAAUGAAUACAUUUGUUCAUUCAAAAUACAUAGCUCUCCAACCUCACCGACAUAAGUCUCUCUCAAAAUACAAAGGUGUACUAAUGCAAAAUGGAAAGCUACUAUACUACCACGGUCUCACUGGUCGGGCGCGAUGCCCUUGCCGCGGUCCUCGCUUGGUAAACCUGUACCUACCACUGAAAAUAGAGUGGGGUGAGAACUAUCUUGCAUAGUUCCCAGUGGGCUCGGCCGCCAACUCUGCCGGUCUCCCCACUAGGUCCAAGUGGGCACAAGUAACAACAAGUAGAUAGAUAGAUAGAUAUCUCAAAGCUGUAAAUGACAUAAUAAGAAAUCUAUGCUACUAUACCCAUAAUCAUGUGUAAUGAAUGCAUGCAUCAUAUAGUAAAGGUUUACUACCAUGCUAACAAGUUCGAUCCAUGUUCGAAUAAUAAUGUUCAAUGACAAUACUUGUUUUUCAUUUAUCCAAUCUAUGGCGAGACCCUUGGGUUCGCCUACAACUCACAUUCCCAUCCCGUAUUGGGCAAAGGAGCUCCAUGUGCCCCCAAUCCGGGACUGUCUGCGGACCUCCAUGUGGUCCCUAUCGCCCGACACUCCGGAGUACUUGACGACAAUCCUCUCCAUGUGAGGAUAUGGAUAGCUAUACCACCCCAAAUAACAGACCGUGAGCUAGAUCUAUCCUCUCCAAGUGAGGAUACCCUACGAACUAGGGCCAACAUCUCGAACGAAGUCAUCUACAUCCUCUCCAUGUGAGGAUACUUAGCUUUACUAAAUUCUUUGUCCACAAGGCAUUUUCUAAAGGAUUCACCUAUCCCUAGGUUCUCAAACCUCUAGUGUCAAGUACACUACAUUAAUGCCACUUGUUUGUUCUUUAGACAUUUAGAUGCCACUCUUUAAGUCACUAGAUAACCAUCAAUUUCACAUCUUUUCUUUAGCACUAUAGGAUCUAAUGUUCCGACCCAAUCCUCACCUAUCCUAUUCACCUAGCAUUCCAUGCAUACUAGGUUACCAUUUAGAAAGCAUAAGGAGAAGGUUAAACAUGCAAUCCUACAAUGCAACAUGCAAGAGAUGAAAUUAUAUGUUAUUCUAAGGCAUAGAAAAAAGUCCGGUAGCUUCGGGAUGACACCCCCCACCUUUCGUAGUCGAUAAUCGUUGUAGAGGUCCUAGAAGUGUUCCUCGGCACUUCAAACCACGUGAUCCCCGCUCUUUAGGAGAAACGAAGCUAGGUCGGCCCUACUUUGCAGAUAGCUCUACACCCGCUCGACGAAUCGUAAAUCCGACUCCGCCAACGCGUUUGGACACCUAGCAAUUAAGUUUACAAGGCCUCAAAUGAGAUCAAUCUCAUCUAUUUCCAAAAAUUCCAUUUUGGGUGCCCUAGGGUUCACAUCUUGCCAUUUGCACUAUAAAACCCUAGUUUCUAGCUCAAAGCCAGCAUUAAUGGUGCAAGAGGUCCAUUUGACCUCCUCUCCAAAGGCUAAAACCCAAAAACCCUAAGUUCUACAAGCUAGGGUUUGUAGCUUACCUCUUGAGCUACACCAAUGGAGAGGAGAGGAAGAGAGGAAGAUGCUCCAAGCCUUCUCUAGCUUGAUCUCCUCCUUCUUCUUCUUCUUCUCCUCAUCUUUCUUCUCUUCCUUCUUCUCCUUCUCUUUUGUUCUUUCUUUUCUAGAGAGAGAGAGGGAGCAAGAGAGUGAGAGAGAGAGAGAGAGAAUGAGAGGCUUAGGGAGAGAGUGGGGGCCUACAUACCCCUCUAAUGUAACAAAAUCCAAAUAAACCCCUCAACUUUCAUCUCUGUGCACAGCCCUCACUGGGCAUUCUGCGCCCAGAGGGACCGUUCCCUUGUCGGGGAGACCGGUCCCCGAGAGCCCUCCCCGCGGCCUGGGGACCUUUCGCGUAUGGGAACCGGUUCCCACCCGAGAGACUGGUCCCUGGGAGAUCGGUCCUUCUUGAGAGACCGGUUCCCGAGAGCCGAAUUUCUAGGACUUAGCCAUUUUUGCCCUUCUCUCGUUGGUGUCACAUACGGGGACCGGUCCCCUCAGCCGGGGGACCGGUUGCAUCAACCUCCCCCGCAACCAUCAGCUACGGGGACCGGUCCUCGUUUCCAGGGACCGGUCCCCGAUAGCAAAAUUUGCUAAGUCCAGAUUUUUUCAUAUCUGCUCUCGCGGACACGUUUCUAAUGCACUUUUUGUAUUUUGGACAACUUUAGCUUUCCCAAAGGAUACUCACUCGACAAGUAGUCGAUCUUGCACGAAGUACAACUCUCGGAUUUCGAGAAUUCACUUCCUUACAUCCUCCCCUCCUUAAAAGGAGUUUCGUCCUUGAAAUUAACUCAAUUAUUUACUUUAACUUAAAUUUUUACCUCGCUCCUCGAACAGAUGAGGGUGGUGCUUUCUCAUUAGAUCCUCGAGUUCCCAGGUGGCUUCGCGAUCAUUAUGAUUGCUCCACUGAACCUUCACGUAGGGAAUUUCUCGAUUCCUCAGCCUUCGCACUUCUUGGGCGAUAAUCAUUACCGAAAACUCUUCAUAGCUCAAGUCUUCUUGAAGCUUCGGUGGCUCAUAUAGCAUCGCGUGCUCGGGGUCGUGAAUAUACUUGCGGAGAUUGGAGACAUAGAACACAUUGUGUACAUCCGCGAGCUUCGGCGGCAAAUCGAGUUGAUAAGCCACCGUGCCAACUCGCUCCAAUAUUUCAUAGGGUCCAAUGUAUCAGGGACUCAACUUUUCCCGCACUCCAAACCGCUUUACACCCCGCAUCGGUGAAACCUUCAAGAAAACGCGGUCGCCCACCGCAAACUCUAUAUCUCGUCGGCGCCUAUCUGCAUAGCUUUGCUGUCUCGACUGCGCCGUGAGCAAUCUCUUGCGAGCAAGGCGGACUUUCUCCUUCGCUUCUCGCAGAACAUCGGGGCCGAACUCUGCACGCUCACCCACAUCACUCCAGUGUAUAGGAGACCGACACAUCUGCCCAUAAAGAGCCUCGAACGGUGCCAUCUUCAUACUAGCAUGAUAACUAUUGUUGUAGGCGAACUCGGCCAUAGGUAGGUGAUCACACCAACUUUUCUUAUAGUCGAUGACACAUGCUCGCAACAUAUCCUCCAGAGUUUGAAUGGUUCUCUCUGUUUGCCCAUCGGUCAGAGGAUGAAAUGCGGUGCUAAAAUCGAGCCGUGUGCCAAGGGCUUCCUGCAGGCUCUUCCAGAAGUGUGAAGUGAACCGGGGGUCACGAUUCGACAUGAUCGAUUUCGGCACACCAUGCAGUCUCACUAUCUCGUCGAGGUAUACCUGCGCUAACUUGUCACCCGACCAUGUGGUGUGGAUCGGCAAGAAGUGAGCCGACUUCGUCAAUCGGUCCACAAUUACCCAAAUUGCAUCGUGGCCGCCUAUUGAGCGAGGCAAGCCGACCACGAAGUCCAUCGAUAUAUCCUCCCAUUUCCAAACGGGGAUUGGUAGGCUUUGAAGCUUUCCCGCUAGAAAUCGACGCUCUGCUUUCACUUGUUGUCAUGUUAAGCAUUUCGCCACAAAGCGUCCAAUAUCACCCUUCAUUUUCGGCUACUAAUAGUGCAUUUUUAGUCCUUGAUACAUCUUGGUGCCGCCCGGGUGAUCAGCAUACGGAGAUCGAUGUGCUUCUUGCAAAAUUAGAUUUUGGAUCUCCUCAUUAUUUGGUACACACCGCUGGUUUCGAAACCGAAGUGUAUCAUCGGCGUCUAUACUGAAAUCGCCGCCUCUACCUUCCUCGAUGUUUUUCCUCACCUUUUGGAGUUCUGGGUCUGCGGGUUGUAGAUCUUUGAUCCUCUCCAACAAGGUCGGUGGGACAACGAGCGCCAUCAACUGGACCGGAACCUCGGGAGCAACCACCUCAAGGUUCAUCCGCUCUAUGUCUAACCACAAGGGUGAUUGAUUUGUAACCCACAUCGAGAGGUUCUCCGCCAACUUUCUGCUCAAUGCAUCAGCGACCACAUUGGCUUUCCCGGGGUGGUAAAGGAUAUCAACAUCAUAAUCCUUAAGCAAUUCCAACCACCGCCGCUGUCGCAUAUUAAGCUCUUUCUGUGUGAACAGAUAUUUCAAACUCCUGUGGUCGGUGUAAAUCUCACAAUGGGCACUGUACAAGUAGUGCCGCCACAGCUUCAAGGCGAAGAUUACCGCCGCUAGCUUCAAAUCGUGGAUGGGGUAGUUCUUCUCAUAGCUCUUCAGCUGACGGGAAGCAUAAGCAAUCACCUUUCCGUUUUACAUCAAAACACACCCCAAUCUUAGAUAGGAAGCGUCGCUGUAGACUACGAAGUCUUCGCCUUGCACCGGUAGAGCGAGCACCGGAGUCGAAGUUAAUCUUUGCUUCAACUCUUUGAAACUCCGGUCGCACUUCUCGCUCCAAACAAACUUGGUGCCUUUCUGAGUCAGGCGGGUAAGUAGAAUCACUAUCUUGGAAAAGCCUUCCACAAACCGCCUAUAAUAGCCCGCCAAGCCAACGAAGGUUCGAACCUCCGUGACAUUCGUAGCGUCGGGCGCGACCAAUCCUUGAUUGCCUCAAUUUUCCUUGUGUCUACUGAAACUCCACCCGCGGAAAUCACAUGCCCUAGAAAUGCGACUUCUCGGAGCCAGAAGUCACACUUCUUUAACUUAGCAUAUAGCUUCUCCUCCCGAAGGGUUUGAAGUACUAUCCUCAAAUGCUCAGCAUGUUCCUCGUCACUACGAGAAUAGACCAAUAUGUCAUCUAUGAAGACCACGACGAAUAGAUCCAAAAACUUUCUGAAGAUACGGUUCAUCAAGUCCAUAAAUGCCGCUGGAGCGUUUGUGAGUCCAAAUGGCGUGACCAUGAAUUCAUAGUGCCCGUACCGCGUACGAAACGCAAUUUUCUGCACAUUCUCCGGCUUAAUUUUCAACUGGUGAUAGCCAGACUGCAAAUCUAUCUUCGAGUACACACACGACCCCUGCAACUGAUCGAACAGGUCAUCGAUUCGGGGUAGUGGGUACUUGUUCUUGAUCGUGACUCUGUUCAACUCUCGAUAAUCCAUGCAGAGUCGAAACGAUCCAUCCUUCUUCCGUACAAACAACACCGGGGCUCCCUACGGUGACAUACUUGGCCGGAUAAAUUUCUUGUCUAGGAGGUCUUACAAUUGACUCCUCAAUUCUUUCAGUUCCGCUAGCGCCAUUCGGUACGGAGCCUUCGAGAUCAGUGCGGUACCGGGAACCAAGUCUAUGACGAACUCGAUCUCCCGAUCAGGUGGUAUCCCUGGCAACUACGCGGGAAACACAUCCGGGAACUCCCGCACCACCGAUAACUCCUCCAACAUUGGAGCUACUCGUCCCACUUCCAUAACAGUUGCCAAGAAUGCUAUGCAACCGCUGUUAACCAGUUUUCUUGCUCUUGUCGCCGACACCGUCGCGACGAAGCACGAGCUCUGACAAGCCCGAUAUGUGAACUCCUUUUGUCCUAGCUCACGAAAGGUAAUUACUCUGCUCUUGCAGUCGAUCGUUGCGUGAUAUUUCGAGAGCCAGUCCAUGCCCAAAAUGAUGUCAUAAGCCUCAAGCUUCUUGAGUUCUAGCGUCCGAAUAGGCAUUAUCCAGUCGCCUACUUGUACCGGACACGAUGCACACUCCGAGUAGGUAUUAAAAGUCAACCUAGGGCCCUCAACUCGCCACUUGUCACUCUCCUCUAUGAGAAUGUCAUGCAUGCGUGCGAAUAAUCUACUAAUGAAUGAAUGCAUGGCUCCUGUAUCAAAUAAAGCCCUGGAGCGAACUCCGUUAAUUAAAACCAUACCUGCCACAAGGCGAUGCUCCUCAGCCUUCACAGGCUCUUCAGCUUAGACCUGAGCGGCGAAUACCUGACCGCUCGGAGCUGAUCGCGUCACCUCGGGUUGACGCGGCAUCAUCGCGCGUCCCGUCGACGCUGCCGUCGGUGGAACUCCUCCAUACUGAGCCGGGAUCGCCGACGCCGAUGUAAUCGAUGGGGCAGGUGAGGCUCCUCCUCCCGGGCAGUCCCGAAUGAAAUGCCCCGGUUGCCCACACUUGUAGCACUUGCCUCGGCUCUGCUCACAUCGCGAGACUGGGUGGUCUCCGCCGCAUAUGAUGCAUCGUCGCGCUCCACCGCCCUUUGGCUGAGUCCGCGGAUACUUCGGGGGCUUCUUGGAACGUGUUUGUCCCCCCGAACUACCACCGCCUUGACGUUUCUUUCCCUUGUCCUUGGACUCGGCUAGCAUCUCACGCUUCUCCCGAACAUGGGCGUCUCCGUGCUUCGCCCAAAGUGCUCGGUCGAAGACCUCCACAAAGGUCGUGAGCUUGAGUAUCUGCACGGCCUUAUAAAUCCUCGGCCGAAGUCCUCGCAAGAACCAAUCGGCCCGGUCCCGGUCGUCCUUCACUACAUCCGGAACACAAUCAAUGAUGUGGGAGAACUCUUGUUCAUAUUCUGCCACUGAGCGGUCCCCUUGCUCCAACUUGCAGAACUUCUCAUUGAGCUUCCGCUUCAGCGUGCCGGGGAAGUAGUUGGCGAACAUCUCCCGCUUGAAUUCCUUCCACAAUAUCGGCAGGAGAUCGGAAAACCGAUCUCGCUUCAUGCGCUUCCACCAUAUCUUUGCCGCUUUCUCCAAACAGUGGGUGGCAAGGUACACCUUAUCCUUCUCCAAGGUACGCAAGUCCUUAAAGAGAGUCUCCAUCGAGUCAACCCAUGACUCGACCAUCGCCGGCUCCACCUUCUCGCCCUCAAAGAUAGGCUGAUGGAACUUGUUGAACUUAAUAAGAGCCGCCAAUGCGCGCUCUCCUUCCACAUCUUCAGCCGUCACAUCGGGUGUAGCCGAUCUCGACGUCGCCUGUGGUACGAUUGCUGGCGGUGGGCGUGCCGUCACCGGAACCGCCUCUAUACCCUUACCCUCUACCGCUCCGGGUACACGAGUUGAGGGUGCAGGCGGACCACCGCCCUCGUUCACCGUCGCAGCCGCCGCCGCAACCUGCCGCUCCAAAAGAUCCUGGAGCAGUUGAAUCGGGUCUCCUAGCGCCGCACGACAUUGGUCAACGCGGUCACUUGUGCCCGCAACUGAUCCAUGUCGCUCGGUUCAGCCUGCUCGGGCACCUCGGGAAGCGGUGCCGGAGUAGACUCAUGCUCGGGCGUCCUCUUGGUGCCAUUGGCUCCUGAAACGCAAGUACUUGGUUAAUUAUCUUAACCUAUGCGCCUCGUCGCAAUUACGACAAAUAACGACUCAACAACGAAGUCGGGCGGAAGCACACAAGUGUACUCGUUCUAGACUCUUGGUAUCAUGUCGUUGGCCGCCGACACAACCACCUCAAGACAAGAACUCAUACCAUUUGAAUUCGUCUCUAUUCACAACUAGAGACAUAUUACCAACUUCAACCCAAUCGAAUUAACUUCUGCUAUCGUUAUAGGUUUACGCUUCGCUCACGCACCUAUAACCUUAGGGCUUACCAACCUAGGGUCUCCUAAGUCAUCCUAGACUUUCUCUCUUUACUUUCUCUUUUUGCUCUGAUACCAUACGACUGUCACGCCCCGCCCCGAAACCACUACCAAUUUGGCACGAUUCGGGCGGACCAGUCCCCUCAGCCAGGGACCGUUUGCAUUAACCUCCCCCGCAACCAUCAGCUACGGGGACCGGUCCUCCCUUCCAGGGACCGGUCCCUGAGAGCAAAAUCUGCUAAGUCCAGAUUUUUGCAUAUCUGCUCUCGCGUAUACGUUUCCAAUGCACUUUUUGUGUUUUGGACAACUUUAGCUUUCCCGAAGGAUACUCACUCGACAAGUAGUCGAUCUUGGACGAAGUACAACUGUCGGAUUUCGAGAAUUCACUUCCUUACACCCACGGAAUUCAAAGCAAACUCAAUCGAGUUGAGCAACUCAAGGAAACCGGAAUUCAAAGCCACAACGACAAUUUGAACCAAAGUCACAUGCAACGAAACGACCAACGGUGGAUCAAAAAUCAAAACGAGUUGAGCCUAACGUCGACAAGCCAAGACAACCAACAAUCCGACAAGUUUGGAUUCGGAAAGAUGAUAUCUUUCCUUGUUCUACAUCUUAGUUUGUUUUGAUUAUUUCAGUAAUGCUUUGGUUGGUGCUUAUUGCAUAUUAUUAUUCAUUGCAUUACAUGUUCAAACGUUUUUUUUAUUUAAAUUUUAUUCUUUUAAAAUUGGUUUGAGAAGGAUGAUUGGGAAUUAAAAUUUGAUUUUUGAGAAAGGUGACGAUUUAAAAUCAUUAUUUCGGGGAAAUUAAGAUUUUCAAAGUGCCUUAACCAAAUUAAAACUCAUAUUGAGUUAAAUUCAUUUUAAUUAUCGGUUUUAAUCCACAUUUUAUUAUUUUGACGAUAAAUUAUUAUAUGAUUUCUUAUUGCAUAAAUUCAUCAAAAUUUUGAAAUCAAAUUUGAUCUCUUGGUGAUUAAUCUAUUUUGGUUGUGUGUGUUGAUUAUGAUGAAUGGAUAUUCACUAAUAGACUAAAAUUUGUCAAAAUUACUUUCAUUUGCGAGAUUGUCUAAUUUAGGGAGAGUUUGAAUAAUUUUUUUAAAAAAGAAACUCCUAUGUUUAAAAGAUGUGGAAAGAGUUACAUCCAAAACGAGUGUGAAAACUACCACCACAUAUAGGAAAGAGCUACAACCUCGGUCGUCCGGUAAGUGUGUGAAGCUACCACAUCGUAAUUAAUUGAAUAACCGAAAGGGUUGAUAAAAAAGAAUAUUUUAGAUUUUUCGGAGUUAUAAGGUGGCAGGAUGAAAAGACGCUCAAAGAGCCACCCCUCGGUGUUUUAUUAGUUAAAUCUCUAUUUUGAACGUUUUGCGACAAAUUGGUGUCAAUUUUGCCGACUUUCUAUAAGUCUUUUUUCAUUAACCGUUACAUCUUGAUGAUUUUGAAUCACUAGGUUAUUUUUGAUAACAAAAUUUUGAUGUUUCGAUGCAUUUAGAAAUCCUAUAAUAUUUUAUUUUCAUUAUAAUGAUUUUUGGAGUACAAUUCUUAAUUAUUUUGAAAUUAAUUUAUUUAUGAAAUUUUCUAGGCAAAUUUUUCGAAUUUUGUGAACUGUUAACCGGUUGCUAAAUCCCGAGUACCGGUACCAGUACUGCCCGACAGAAUUAUUUAACCGGUUCAAUUAUUUGUUUCUCUUCCAAAUCCGAAAUCAAAUCGCUCUCUUUCUAUCUCUAAAAUCCCUAUAUGUUUUCUAGUAUGUUUUCUCUCUAUAUGCUCUGUUUUGGCAAUUUUUGUCAAAAAGGGGGAGAACAUAGACGGACAGGUAUUGAGCAAAGAUGGAGAAGUUUUUGAAGAUCAAAGGGGGAGAAGAAGAGAAGGACUUGAAUGUAAGAAUAUCUAAUGUUUUUCCUUUUCUACAUCAUUUUGGAUAAUUUGUUUUGCAGGAAAUCAAGUCUUCAAGACUCCUAGUUCCGUCUAAGUCAUAGAGUUUGUUUAAGGAGUUUUGAUGUAAUUUGGACUUCAUAUUGUAUUUGGAUUAUACGUGAGAGGUUUGAUGUUUUGGUGAUGACAUUGAACUUCGUUUUUCAUUUAUGAUGUAAUUUUUGAGUUUUGUCACGAAAUUGUCAAAGAGGAGAUUGUUAAGUAUUUUGUGUUGGUAAGUUUCGUGAUUUGAGUCAGAGUAUUGAAGGGUUCGGUGCGUUAUUGUCGAAGAUCGAAGAAUUCAAGACUUCGAGAACUCAGAAACAUCUCACCGCAUGAAUCACGAUGCUAAGGUAAGGUUUUAAUUCGUGGUAUGGUGAUUCAUAUUUAGUUAUAGACAUUAGAAUCAUGAAAGUCAAAGUUUAAUGGAUUAGAAAGUGCUUCGGAACUUUGUGAAACCCGAAACUGUGCAAAAUCUGAAAACUGCACUGUGUAUGGGUAUAGCAUUGAAAGUGUACCGGUACAAAACUGGUUCCGGUACAGCAUUGACCUUGUAACUUGUCACGCCCCGCCCCGAAACCACUACCAAUUUGGCACGAUUCGGGCGCGGCGAGCGGACCGCCGAACGGACAGCACCUCUCCUGUCCGCCCAAGGCUCACAACAAGAAUGUGUACAAUAAUUUCCCAGGAAUUUAAAUUCUAAACAUACACAUUCAACGGGGCACAAAUAGUGCCAGCAACUACAAGAGCAAAUAAUCCACAGGAAUAACAUGUGAAAUAAAGAGAGUAUUUUGCUAGCUAUUGCAAUAGUUCAUCCUUUUCACUUACAUCAUUUUCUUUAAAUGAAUACAUCUUUCAUCCAAAAUACAUAGCUCUCCAAAUCCUCACCUACAAUGAAUCUCUCUCUCAAUACAUAGGUGUACUAAUGCAAAAAGGAAAGCUACUAUACUACCACGGUCUCACUGGUCGGGCCGAUGCCCUUGCCGCGGUCUUCUCUCGGCAGCUCUGUACCUACCAAUGGAAAUAGAGUGGGGUGAGAACUAUCUUCCAUAGUUCCCAGUGGGCUCGGCCGCCGACUCCGCCGAUCUCCCCACUAGUUCCAAGUAGGCACAAGCAACAACAGAUAGAUAGAUAGAUAGAUAUCUGAAAGCUGUAAAUGCGAUAGUAGGAAAACUAUGCUACUAUGCCUAUAAUCAUGUGUAAUGAAUGCAUGCAUCAUAUAGUAAAGGUUUACUAUCAUGCUAACGAAUUCGAUCCAUGUUCGAAUAAUAAUGUUCAAUGACAUUGUUCACUGUUCUUUUACCCAAUUUGUAGCGAAGCCCUAGGGUUCGCCAAUAACUCACCUUUCAAUCCCAAAGUGGGGAGGGAGCUCCAAGUGCACCCAAGCCCGGGACCGUCUGCGGACCUCCAUGUGGUCCUAGUCGCCCGACACUCCGGAGUACUCGACGACAAUCCCCUCCAUGUGGGGAUAUGGAUGCUAUACUACCCCAAAAGCAGACUGUGAGCUAGAUCUAUCCUCUCCAAGUGAGGAUACCCUACAACUAUGGUCAACAACCCAAUCAAAUCCUCUCCAAGUGAGGAUGCUCACAACUAAGGUCAACAAUCCAAUCAAAUCCUCUCCAAGUGAGGAUGCUCUACAACUAGGGUCAACAACCCAAUCAAAUUCUCUCCAAGUGAGGAUGCCCUACGACUAGGGUCAAUAUCUCAAUAACUCAUCGACAACCUCUCCAUGUGAGGGUACUUAGGUUUAUUAAGUUCUUUAUCCAUAAGGCAUUUUCUAAGGGAUCCACCUAUCCCUAGCUUCUCAAACCUCUAGUAUCAUUUACACUAUAUUAAUGCCACUCGUUAUUCUUUAACAUUUGGAUGCCACUCGUUUGUUCUUUAACAUUAAACAUUACUUUCUAUAUCACCAACCCUCAUCGGGUUCAUCUCUUUUCUUUCGGAUCAUAGGAUCCACGUUCCGACCCAAUCCUCACCUAUCUAAGUUACCAAGUGUUCCAAGUACACUAGGUUAUCAAUUAGAAAGCAUAAGGAAAGGUUCUACUAUGCAAUCCUACAAUGCAACAAGUAAGAGAUGAGAUUAAAUGCAAUUUAAGACAUAGAAAGGAGUUCGAAAGCUUCGGAUGGCACCCCCCACCUUUUACCAAUGUAGAGGCUUUAGAAAUGUUCCUCGGUGAACUUUACGAAAAGGCUUUAGCCUUUCUUGGUCCAAGACAAAGCUAAAUCGGCUGUAUUUCGCCGAUAGCUCCAAAUCCACUCGACGAAUCGCGAAAUCGACUUCGUGCCCGCGUUUUGUGACCUACCAAUUAGGUUUACAAGGCCUCAAAUGAGAUCAAUCUCAUACUUUACUAAAAACCCCAUUUUGGAGCCUUAGUGUCACGCCUCGAGACCGCUACCAAUUUGGUCCGGUUCGAGCGCGUCGAACAGACGCCGAACGGACAGAGUCUCCCCUGUCCGCCCAAGGCUAAGCAAACGAUCAUGUACAAGAAUUUACCCAGGAAUCAAUUCAUAAGUACACAAUCACAAGAGCACAACAAGUGCUAACAAGUAAGAGCAAGGCACAAGUAUAAAGCAUACAAGUAACGAUAAAGAGAGAAGGUCUAUCUAUUACAUUCAUUCAACCUCUUUAAUACAUCGAUUUACAUUUAAACUGCCAAAUACAACAUGAGUUUACAUUUCCAAAAUGAUACCUCACACCCUAUACAUCAUCUACUCUCAAGUACAAAAGGGUGGCUCUAAUGCAAAGGAAAGUAAACUAAUGCAUCUAGGGCGCUAAGUCUCCUUAACCUGCGAUCUUCUGCGCCGUGUGAUAUUGCUGCUUCUUGUUCCUCUGUAGUUAAAAUGGGGGGUUGAAGAACUUAACUUCCCUUAUCUACCAGUGGGUUCGUCCUGCCAUCCUGCCUGUCCUUUCCCAAUCUUAGUUCCUAGGUGGGCAUGCAAGUAGAUUAACCGAUAGAUUAUGAUAUGAGAACUGUAAGGCCAAGAAUAAGUAAAACUACUCUACAUGGCCUCGCAUUAUAAAUUAUUAUUUGAAUCCUAUGUUUCAAUGUAAAUCGGUAUGUCAACUACAUGUGUCAUCAUGUCAUUGUAAGUAAUUAAUGUUUAUUUACUGUUCAUUUUAAUCGUAUUGGCUCACUCGAGGGUUCCACCUACUACGCACUUAUAGCCAUAUUCUCGACGCGUUAGGAUGACUCAAUCUCAAACUAGCAUUUUUCGAGAUCUUCUGUUGCUGGCGUGAUCUCCGCCACUAUAUGGCUAUUUCUCUCUCGGGACCAUCCAAAUUAGUGCUAUCUACGUGAUUCAACUUUCGUAGCGCAUGCUACCUUGUGUUGGUAGUCGACUCAUCACUUAGAGGUAUUAGAACAAUCCGUGGAGCCAAGAUCCAAUCCUGCUCUCACUCGAAGAUCCCUUACCUCUAGGUCUUAAUUUUUCAUCACCAAGUCCAUAGUUCAUAUACACUAACUCACAUGAGAUGUCCCACUCGCCUCUUUUGUUACUAAUCAACUAGAGCCAACUUGUUCAUCUUUUGUUUACUAUCUAACAUAAGAUGCCACUAGUUCUUGUUUACAUAUCCACUAGAUCCACUCAUAUCUUUUGUUUACCUAUCAACUAGAUGCCAGCUAUUUUUUUGUUUAAUAUUAAAUCCCAACCAUUGAGUCCAUCUCACCUCGCACUAUAGGAUUCACGAAUCACGACCCAAUCCUCAUCAAUCCACUAUAUCAACAAUAAACAUUAUAGAUCUCCAAUCUAAGGUAGCAUAUAGGAACUCCAAUGCAUCAAUUCAUCCUAAUAAUGCAAGUAAUACCAAAUGUCAAGAUUAAUGUAGCUAAGACAUAAAGGAGUCCAGUUGCUUCGGAUGUCACCACCACCUCUUGGUAGUGCCGAAAAGGUUAGAAAACCCAACCUUUGUUAGUGGUAAUAUCCCGUACGUCCUCUCCACUCGCUCUGGCAACAAACCCAUUACUUGUAUUUCGAUAAACUCGCACCCGUUGUCGGAUCGGACGAACGUCUCGCCAACGUGUAUAGAACCUAGCAAUUAAUUUACAUGAGGGUUAAUUGAGAUCAAACCCCCAUUUUUCCAAAAUGCAUUGAAUCCUAGGUUCAACUGCAAAAAUCACAAAUUGAUCCAUGCUUAGGACAACACACUAUUAGGCAUCCCAUAGAUUCCAAUAAAUCCAUUUUUAUAGCAUAUAAAUGAGCCUACCAUCUAACAUUAUAGAUUUUGGGAAGUCCCUAGGUCAAACAUGAGGAAAUCCAUGCUCAAAGCUCAAAUUCGAGCCUAGAACCAUCAACUUAGCUCCAAUAAGGUUCUCAUUCAACCAAUUCUAAAACCAUAAAAUCGGCCUAUCUUAAGGAAUCUACCAUUAUAGGUUGGGGCUUACUCUAAAACUUCUCCAAAUGUUAGGAGAGGAGAACAGAUAUGAAUCUCCUCUUCUUGGCUUCUUCUCCUCUCUUCUUUCUUCUUUUUUUUUUUUUUCCUUUCUUUUCCUUCUUCGCUAUUCCUUUCUUCUUUUCUUCUUUCUUUCUUAGAGAGAAGAGGAAAAAAGUGGAGAGUUGAAGAAUAAGAGAAACUUGAGAGGAGAAGCUGUAAUGUGUUGUGUAUCGCAUGCAACCAGCACACAUAGUCUCUGAACAAUUUCAAUAAACCCUCUCACACCUAUUAACAACUUGCAUUUCGAGUUCGGAACAUGUGUUGUCGGGCCCUUAUGAAUGUCCGUUUGCUCAAAUUUCGAUCGGCAGGCUCGGUUAACGUACUGAGCAAGAAUAUACAUUAAUUUCAGUUUCGACCUGCCGUGGUCACCGAAAAUGGCCGGAACUGUAAUCUUUAGUAAUAGCAUUCGAUUUUACUCUCCACCUUGUCCGGUGCACGAAUGGGCUGAAACUUAAAUCUACCUCAAAAAAAUAAUUCUGUACAUAUCCUCCAGUUUCAUUAAAUUCUCGAACACUGUGCAUUUCUGCUAAUUUACCACUCCCCAUUCCUCACAUAGAAAAUCUAUAAUUUUCGGUUUUCGCUCCGAUUCAGCACAGGUCCUUUCAUAUACUUACUUCUAUGAGUCGCAAUAAAAUAGUACUCACACUAUUUUAUUUAUAUUAUUAUUAAAUAAACCCGCCAUCUAUCUCUACCGAACUCCUAUUUUCAGAAGUUCCGGUACCUAACAUUCUCCCCUCCUUAACAUGAUUUCGUCCUCGAAACGAACUCAAUUUAAUCAAAAUUUUAAGCUCGAAUCUUAAAUCAUACCAUUCCAAUCCUCAAAUAAGUGAGUGGUGAUUUCGCGCUUCAUUUAGACCUCGAACUCCAGUGCUUCGCGAUCGUAUAUUGCUCCACCGACCUUGACACUGAAUUUCUCGAUCCUCAAACUUGCGCACUUCUCGAGCUAAUAAUGCCACCGAAAACUCCUCGUAGCUCAAGUCCUCCUGAAGUCCGCGGUUCAUACAACAUCGGUGCUCCGCGAUAGGUAUUACUUCCGAAGAUUGGAGACUUAAUACAUGUUAACCAUCCCGCGAGCUUUUGGCGGCAACGCGAUCGAUAAGCCACACGUCCCAAAUCCGCUCCACCAGAAUCUCAUAGGGGCUCAAUAUAUCGGGACUAGCUUUUCCCCGAACUCCAAAUCGCCUUCAACGCCCUCAUAGGCGAUAAACCUUUGGAAAAACUAGGCGUCCGCCCAUGUCGCAAACCCAAGUCCGCGCCGGCGCGCCUAUCCGCAUAGCUUUGCUGCGAGACAGCCGUGAGUUAACCGUGCAGCAAAGGCGGACCUUUCUCUUGCCGCCUCUCGCAACCAUCGGGGCCAAAUUCUCGUGCGCCUCUGCCCACAAUCGCAAUAAAGGGGGACCGGCACUUCGCGCAUAAAGAGCCUGAAACGUGGCCUAUCUCCACACUUCAUGAUAAGUUAUUUGUAGGCAAACUCGCUCAUCGCAGAUACUUGCAGACCAACCUCUUCUGUAGUCCAUACACACACUCGAUGAACAUAUCCUCCCGGUCUGAAUGGUUCUUUCAAGUUGCCCUCCGUCUUCUGAGGAUCGAAAUGCAUGCUGAAGGAGCCGUGUGCCACGGCCUCGCUUGCAGCUUUUCCUAUGAAAUGUGAAUGUGAACUGGGGUCUACUAUCCGACACAAUUGACUUCGGACCCCCAACUCACGUGUAACCUACUACUUCCGCAAGAUAUACCUUGCGCAACAUUUAUCUCCUGCCCAAUGGAUGGGUGUGGACGUAGAAAGUUGCCGACUUUCGGUCAAGACGAUCCACAAUCACCACCCCAAUUGCGCGUGCCGCCUGUCGAGCGAGGCAAGCAACAGAAAAUCCAUCGAUAUGUCCUACCCAUUUCCAGACCGGAUAGUAGGCUUUAAAGCUUCCUGCUGGAAAUGGCUCCGCCUUCACCUUGCUACAAGCCUCAAACACUUCGCACGAAGCGCCCAAUUAUCAAUUUCAUCGCCCGGCCACAAUACAGUGCUCUCAACUCAUGAUCACACUUGUGCUAAGAGAACACGGUAUUGAUCAGCGUAAUGGAGACCGGUGGCGCUUUUGCAAAAUCACAUCGGCGAAGCCUCUUCACUUGGUGACACAGCCACGGUUCGAAACCGCGAAGCGCGCCACCGGCGUUCAACUGAAUAUCGCACUGCCUUGACCUCCUCGAUAUUACGCCGCACCUUUGAGACUGGAUUUGCCGCAGAUUGCAUUCUGAAUCUCUCCAACAUAUGUCGGUUGAACAAACGAGUACCAUACACUGAGUCGGAUCUCGGAGCGACCCUUCUAGUCACGUCCAUAUCCAGGCCAUAGGGUGUUAUGUUUCGGUAACAUCAAAAGCAAGGUUCUUUUCGCCGACUUUUCCUGCAAGCGCCUCCGCGAUACAUUUGCCUUUGCCGGGUGGUAGAGGAUAUCACAUCGUAAAUCCUUUAACAGUCCAACACCGCGUUGACCAUAUCAACUCCCUUCUGGUAAAUAGAAUUAUCAACUUUUGGGGUUAAAUCUCGGCGCGUACGCAGCCAUAUAGUAGUGCCUCCCACAGCUUCAGACGCAAAGAUUACGCCGCCUGCCAACCUCCAAGUCAUAUCGAUUGGGGAUAAUCUUCUCAUGGUCCUUUUAACUGACGGACGCAUAAGCAUCACUCUCCCGCCUUGCAUCAGACUAACACCCCAAACCUAGAUAGGAUGCAUCAUCUAUAGAACCGCAAAGUCUCGCCCUGCACCGGUAAGCGAUAAUCCGGGCCGAAUUAACCUUAUCUUUAACUCUUAAUCUCCGGUCACAACCGUCGCUCCAAAUAAACUUGAACGCCCCUUCUGCGUCAGAUCGGUAAGACGAGUCCACAAUCUUUCGAAAAGCCUCCACAAACCGUCGAUAGUAGGCCCCCUAACCAUGAUAGCUCCACUACUCGGUGACGUUCGUUGGGCGCGGCCAAUCUCAAUCUGGCUUCGACUUUCCUCUGUUCAACUGAUAACACCCGCCCUCGAAAUUACGUUGACCCUAAGAAGCAACCUCUCGAAGACUAGAAUCAACUUCUUUAACUUCGCGCAUUAGCUUUCUCCCUCCCGAGAGAUUUGAAGCACUAUCAGCGAAAUGCUCCGCGUGCUCUUCGUCGGUCCGCCGAAUAGACCAAGAGUCGUCUAUGAUAGAACCACGAAACACUACGGGAUCCAAGCACUCUUUGAACACACGUUCAUUAAUCCAUGAAUCUACCGGCAUUAUGACUCGCAAGGCAUAACCGUUAUUCGUAUGUCCCAUACGCGUGCAAACGCGUCUCUACCAUCCUCCACUUAAUCUUUAAAACUAUUGAAGCCGGAUUGUAGCUCUAUCUCGAGUACACUCGUGACCUACUUAACUGAUCAAAUAAUCGUCCGAUUCGGCAACGGGUACUUUGUUCUUAUCGUGACUCGACUUCACUCCCGAUAACCACCCAAGUCGCAAACGAGCCAUCCUUCUUGCCCGAACAACACGGGGCUCCCACGGCGAAACGCUUCGCCUAUAACACCCUUGUCCGAGAAGAUCCUGUAGCUGAUCCCUCACUCCCAUAACUCUGCCGCGCAUGCGUACGGGGCCUUGAGAUCGGCGCGCCGGGAACAAUGCUAUAACGAACUCGAUCUCGAUCCGGCGGCAUCCCCGUAACCUCCGCGAAAUACAUCCGAAUUCCGCACCAUACCGAUACAUCCUCUAACACGAGCCACUCGGAUCCACUCCAUGACAAGUCGCCAAAAUGCUAAUCGUCAGCCGCGUUGACACAACUUUCCUAGCCUCGUGGCGAUCUUCGUCGCGACGAAGCAGAGCUUCGACAAGCUCGAUAAAUCAACUCCUCCUGUCCUGCUCCCGAAAGGUAAUCAAUUUAUUCUUAAUCAAUCGUGCAUAACUUUUGAGAGCCACUCCAUGCCCAAAAAUGAUCAUACGGCCUCCAGUUACUUAAGUUCAACUCCGAUAGCAUUAUCCAGUCGCCUACAUCUUGUACUUGGGCAGCGAAGAGCACUCCGUGUAGGUAUGAACGAUCAGACUCAGCCAUCAACUCGCCAUUACCACCUCGCUUCUAGGUAUGUCAUGAUACGCGUCGAAUGCCUAACUAAUAAACGAAUGUUGCACCUGUAAGCACCAUACCUGGAAUCGAACGUCCGUUAAUUAAAACAUUACUGCCACAUUUCUUUACGUUAGCUCCUCGCUGGGUAGACUGCCUCGGCUUGGCCUGAGCGCGCGAAUACCGCGCUCGCGCUGAUCCAAACACUCCGGCCACGCGGCAAUUCCGCGCCUCCUGCCGAACGGGAAAUAAGGAGCUCCUCAUAAGUUAGGUGGGGUUUCGCUGGAGAUGUCGAUUGCGACUGACGUAGGCGGGCCCUGCUGGACAUGGCGGCUGAUAUGCCGCUUCUUGCCCACACCUUGAAGCAUUUGCCCUGUCGUUGGCCUACACUGCCGCGCUCGAGGUGGCACUCAGCACCGCAGAUAGCACAUCUGCGCCCACAGCGACCACGACUGGAUCGCCGGUGUUUCGGGGGUCCUCUUGGAACUCUUUGGUUGUUGCUUGGUUUUUCGACUGACUCCCACCACCGCUCGAUUGUCCCGCUUUCUCCCUCUUGUCCUGGUCCAGCCCAACAACUCUCGCGUUCCUCCCAGCACGUGGCUAUCUCCCUUCUCCGCCCACAACCGCUCUACAAAGACCUCGCGCAGGUCGUGACUUGAGCAGUCUGCAGGUCCGCCCGGAUUAAUCCAUUGCCGACUCCCACGCCAGAACCACUCGGCCCGACUGAGUCGCCCUAACAACGUCCGGUACAUACAGUCUAUUAAUGUGGGAAACUCCUGCUCCGUGAUUCCUGCUACUCAUGCCGAUCCUCCUUCCAAUUUGUCGAACCUCUCUUCAAUUUCCGCCUCUCUUCUCCGGUGCGGGAAUGUAAUCCCGAACAUUGCCCUCUAAACCCCUCCCAGAACAUUGGGAAGGUCAAGGACCGAUCCGCUUCACGCAGCUUCCACCACACCUUCGCCGCCUUUCUCGGGCAAUGGUGACGGGUAACCUUGUCCUUCUCCGAGGUAUAAUAGGUCCUACGAAGAGGGCUCCCAUAGAGUAAUCCAUGACUCACCAUUGCCGCCCACUUCUCCCCUCAAAGAUGCGGUUUAAACUCUUGAAACUUAAUAAGCGCGCAAUCUGCGCUGCUCGCUCGCUCCACCUCCUCGUCGUCGGUCAUGGUGUCCGCCGACCCGAAGCCGCCCGGCACACUUGUCGCGGGGAACGCGCGAUCGGAACCGCUUGCUAUGACCUCACCCGCCGCUACCGGCUGCGCGGCCGAAGUUCGGGCGAUCGUGACUCCUGCCGCUGUCGCGGCCGCCCGCGCCGCUUGCCGCCCAUCAAUCCCUGAGUCUGCUCGAUGAUCGAGCCUCCUGGCGCUGGAUCUCGCCACCAACAUUGCAGCGACCUUGCUCCGCCGCAUCCUGCACGCUCCUGAUCAGAUCGCUCGGCACCUGCAAGGAGGCGGUACUGAACACCUACCUAUAGCGCCUUGGAGACAGUUUGCUCCUGCAAACAACACGUUGGUUCGUUAUUUUAACCCGAUAACUUCUUAACGUUCACGGCAAAUAAACGCUCGCCAAUGACCAAUCGGCGAACACACAAGUCGUUCUAGUUUGGACUCUUAGACGUCGCGUCGUCGGCCGCCGACGGACAACUACGAGCCAAGAAACUAGUGUCACUUACCGUCUCUUAUCAAAGCUAAGAACAACAUAACAUCUAACUUCGAGCCCAAUGAAUCACUUACGCUACCGCCUAUGAGGUUCACGUCUCAACUCCACUAAUUCGCCUAAAACCUUAAGUUUUCUCAUCUAAGGUCUCCUAGGUCGAUCAUAGACCUCUCUUACUUGCUCUUACCUGCUCUGCAUUACCAAUUAAUCUGUCACGCCUCGAGACGCUACUGAAUUUGUCCGGUUCGAGCGCGUCGAACAGACUCCGAACGGAACCGUCUCCCCUGUCCCAAGUCUAGUCAGACGAUCAUGUACAAAAUUUACCUCCCCAGAAUCAAUUUAUAAGUAACAAUCACUAAGAGCACAACAAUCCUAACAAUGUAAGCGCAGCCCCAAAAUUAUACAAGCAUUACAAGCACGAUAAAGAGAGAAGGUCUAUCUAUACAUCAUUCAAACCUCUUUUAUACAUCGAUUUACAUUAAACUGUCCAACAUACAACAUGAGUUUCGUAUCAUUCCAAAAUGAUACUCAAUGUCCCUCCAGUAACAUCAUCUACUCUCAUACAAAAGGGUGGCUCUAAUGCAAAAGGAAAGUAAACUACUGCAUCCUAGGCCUAAACCUUACCGCCGAUCCUUCGCCGUGUGAACUCGCGCUCUUCGCCCUGUAGUAAAUGGGGGGGUAGAACUAACUCUUAGUUCCCAGUGUUUCGGCCGCGACCCCGCCUGGUCUCCCCACUAGGUCCAGUGCACAGUUAUAAAAGAUGAUAGAUAUGGAAAGCUUAAGAAGAAUAAAACCUACGCUACAUGCCUGACAUCAUAAGAUAUAUGAAAUGGCAUGUUCAAUGAAAGGGUAAGCAACUAAUGCAUCAAUGUAUAAAGUUAGUUAUUUAACUUGUUCAUUAAUCUUAGGCUCACCAGGGUUCACUCUACAACUCACACUAGCCUCUUCGACGCUAGGGAGACUCAAACUCAAAAACUACUAAUCCAGAGCCGGUCUGCGGACCACCAUAGGCUAUCCCUCGGUACCUCCAAAUAGGCUAUCCACGUGCACCAACUCCGAGCGCACUACUUGUUUGGACGACCAUCACAAGGUAUAAACCAGACGGAGCAAGAUCCAUAUCCCUCCCACUCGGAGAUUCCCUCUAUCCUCUAAUGGUUACUUUCAUCACAUUAGGUCAUAGGUUUCAUAUACACUAGAACCACAUAGAUGACCAUCGUUCUUUGUUGUUUACUAUCACAAUGCCCCUCAUUCUUUUGUUUUACUAUUCAACUAGAUGCCACUAUUCUUUGUCUACUAUCAAACAGAUGCCACUCAUAUCUUUGUUACUAUCACAGAUGCGCACUAGUCUCUUUUUAAUAUCAACCAACCCUUGAGAUCCAUCUUUCACACAGGAUGUCGCACUGAUACUGUUCACAAUUCUCGACCCAACCUCAUCAAUCCACUAUAUCCACAACUAAACAUAGUAUCAUAUCAUCUAGGUCAGCAUAAGAAGCAAAUGCACAUAACAUCACUAUAAUGCCAAGUGAAUACAAGAUCAAAUUAAUGUACUAAGCAUAAAGGGAUCCAGUUGCGUCGGUACUUGUUCACCACCCACACUCUGAGUGCCACGAAAUUAGAAAACCUACACGCUGCGAUCCUCCCGUGAAACGUCGCUUCCACCUUCGGGAACCAAAUCCCUCAUUACUUGUUUUGGCAUAAUCCGCACCCGCUUGUCGAUCGACGAACCCUCGCCAAAAGGUUUUAGACCUAGUCAAUUAGGUUUACAGAGGGUUUAUAUGAGAUUCAAACCCCAUUUUCUAAAAUGCAUUUGAACGCCCUAAUGUUUAACUUUUGCAAAAUUCACACUAAAAUGAAUCCAUGAUCUUAGGCAACAAUCAUCUAUUAGCAUCAUAGGACCUCCCAAUAAAUCUCCAUUUUAAUAGCAUAUAAAUGAAGCCCUAAAAUUCUUCUAACCAUUAUAGGCUUUUUGAAUAUCCCUAGUUUCAACGACAUGAGGAAUCCAGGCUCAGUUCAAAUUCGAGCUAAGAACUCUCUUAUCCUAGCUCCAAUAAGUUAGCAUUCAAACCUAAUUCUAAACAUAAAACUCUACCUAUCUUAAGGAAUCACCAUUAUAGGGUUGACUUACCCUUAAUAACUUCCCAAAAGGUUGAGGGAAGAGGAGGAUAGAGAUGAUCUCUCCUCUUCUGGUCUCUUCUCCCUUCUCUUCUAUCUUUCUUUUUUUUUUUUCCUUUCUUUCCUUUCUCUCUUUCUUUCUUUCUUUUCUUUUCUUCUUUAUCUUCUAGAGAGAAAAGGAAAAAGAUGUGAGAAGGGGAGAGAAUGAGAUAACUUGAGGAGAAGUGGUACUUUGUGUGGUACCAUGCAACCAGCCCACAUAGUCUCUGUAACCAAUUGAGCAAAACCCUCCCCUCCCACACCUAUUACAACUUGCAUUUUUCGCUUUGUGCUACAAUCGACACAGGCUCGUUAACGUACCUGAGCAAAUAAUAUAAUCUUAGUAAGUUUUCCCAUUUCGCAGUUUGUCACCGAAAACUCGUGCCGAACUGUAAUCUUUAGUAGAAUAGCAGUUCGAUUCUUAUUCCAGCACCUUCCGGUGUCAGAAUCGGCUAAAACUUUCAAUCUGAGCCUCAAACCAUAAUUCUGACAUAUCCUCCAGUUCAUAAUUUCUGACACGUGCAUUUUCUGCUAAUUUAUCUGCCCAUCCUACAUUUGCAGGAAAAUUCUUAAAUCUUCGGUUUGCGCCUUCCGAUUUUCCAGCACAGGUCAUUCCAACUUAUACUACUUCUAGAGUCCAAUAAAUUACUCACACUAUUUUAUUUAUAUUUUUUAUAAUACACUCUCGACAUACAUCACUACCUGUAACCUCCUAUUUUCAAAGUUCGUAUCUCUACCACUUUAGGUCUCCAUCUGCCAUGUGCACAUUUGAACCCUAACUCUCGCUUUGAUCCUCACAAUGGUCUAGGUCCAUUUGACCCCAUUUCCAAGCUCAAACCCAAAAACCCUAAGUUCUACGAACUAGGGUUUAGAGUUUACCUCGCUCUUGACUACUCAUAAGGAAGAGGAGAGGGAGAAGGUGUCCAAGGCCUUCCUCUUGAUCUCAUUCUUCUUCUUCUUCUUUUUCAUCUUCUCCUUUUCCUUUCUCUCCUUCUUGUUCUUCUUGUUCUUCUUCUCUUUCUAGAGAGAAAGAGGGAGAGAAAAUAUGAGAGGAAGAGAGUGUGAGUGAGGGUGAGAGAGGAACAGGGCUCAGCCCCUCUAAUCCUCCCUAACUAAUUCCAAUUUGCAUAAAAACCCCUCAACUUUUAAUCCUAUGCACUGCCCUUACUGGGCAGAAUUCGCGCGGAGGGACCGGUCUCCCCAACUUGGGACCGGUCCCCGAGAGCCUCCCUCGGGCGCACGCGUUCGGGAACCGAUCUCUCCCCGGGAGACCGAUCCUCGGGAGACCGGUCCUCGCCUGAGAGACCGGUCCCCGAGAGCUCGAUUUUCAGGACUUAGCCAAAUUUCGGCAUUUCUCGCUGGGGCCACGUUCGGGGAUCGGUCCCUCCCUUCCAGGGACCGGUUGCAUCAAGCAACCCCGCUACACCCAGCCGAUGGAACCGGUCUCUCACCUCCAGAGACCGGUCCCCGAGAGUAACAUCAGCCCAAUGAUGCAGUUUGCACCAUUUGCUCUCGUGGACUCAACUCCAAGGCACUUUUUGUGCUUUGGACAUCUUUAACUUCCCCAAAGGAUAUUCUCUCGACAAAUAGUCGAUCCUGAACGAAGUAUAACUCUCGGAUUUCGAGAAUUCAAUUCCUUAUAUCCGGUUUCAAGUAUUUAAAAGUUUUCUGUUCCGUCCUUGUGUAACCGGUAACAACUUAUUUUUGCACCGGUACACAGUGUAAAAUUCUGAAAACUUUCUAAUCCGACUCUAAUUGAUUCUAAAGUCUAUAAAUAAGGUAUUAGGGUUCUCUAACUCAUCAAGCAUCACGAGAAUUCUUGUUAGGGAAGCCCUAGAGGCUAGGAUUUCAUCAAAACUUAUUUUCUACAAAAUAGCCUCGUGUAGGUCAAUUCGAGAUAUCGUAAUUUGAGAUCUAUAUGUCGAAUUGAUCUAAGACUUCGCUUAGAGUUUUGUCUCUGGUUCAUUAUCGAUAUUCUCAGCGAAGGAUCACCAUAGCAUGAUGUUCUUCAUGGAUGGCGUCGUGGAUUUGGCGUGAUUGAAGGCGGAUCGUGGAUUCGGAUCGUGGGCUCGUGGAUUCGAGUGGCGUUCAUGGAUUCGGACAUGUGCAAGGCAUUCGUGGAUUCGAACGUGAGGGCGUGGACAACCCAGAGGAUUGCGCGGGAUUCGUAGGAGGUUAAGAGAGGUCGAGUCCGUGGAGUCGGUAAUCACUUUGUAAUCUUUUCUCUUAGUGAAUUAUUUUUUCGCGUGUUGGUCCCGUGGGUUUUUUACUCCAAAUUGGAGUUUUUUCAAGUAAAUCUCGGUGUGAUUUUUAUUUUUCGCAUUUAUUUUUAUCGCAUUGAGAUUUGUGGUUUUUGGCCGUUACACCUAUUCACCCCCCUCUAGGUGUUUGAUACAAUCUAGAUAGAUCCUAGGGCUCUUCAAAACUCACAAUUGGUAUCAGAGCGGGAUCUAGAUAUAUUGUUAUCUAAUGGCCGAAGGCGCUAACAUUAAUCGACCAUCACUCUUCGAUGGCACGAAUUAUGCCUAUUGGAAAGUUCGCAUGAGAGCUUUUCUAAUUGCAAUCGACGAGCGAGUGUGGCAAUCAAUCGAAUUCGGAUGGAAAUAUCCUACCGAAGUCGUCGAUAAUGCUACCGUCCCUAAACCGAGAAAUAAGCGGACUAAAGAUGAAAACGAGUCAUCUUCGUUUAAUGGCAAGGGAAUAAAUGCUUUGUUCAAUGCAUUAUCUCAAACGGAGUUUACUCGUGUCUCGGCAUGUGAAACCGCCAAGGAGAUUUGGGAUACUUUACAAGUUACACAUGAGGGUACGAGUCUAGUUAAAAUUCAAAAGCUCCAGAUGUUGACAAGUCAAUUUGAUUUGAUUCGUAUGGAGGAGCAUAAAUCAUUUACCGAAUAUUAUACUAGACUUCAAGAUAUAAUUAAGAUAUGUGCUAACUUGGGAGAGAAAAUCCCGGAUUCUAAAAUUGUUAGAAAAAUUCUUCGAACUCUUCCAGAACGCUUUAGGGCAAAAGUGGCCGCAAUUGAAACGGUUAAGCAUUUGGAUGAGAUGAAAGUCGAAGAGUUAGUAGGUGCUUUGCAAACUUAUGAGAUGACUUUUCCUACUAACCUAUUUUCUUCCAAGUCUUUCUCUAAAAGUACAAGGAUUGCAUUGAAAUCGAUAAAGGAGGAAGACGAGGACUCGGGUUCUGACGGAGAUAUCUCAAUUGCCGAUUUUGAACAUCAAUUGACGUUCCUAACGAAGAAGUUUCGUCGGAACUUCCGGAAGAAGAACAAAUCGAGCAAUGCUUCAUCUUCGAAGCAAAAAUCAUUUUCUAAACACUCUUCAAAUUCAAAAUCUAAGGAUAAGAAGCUUACAAAGUCUUCUAAAGAAAAAGAUGAAGUAGAAGGAGAAAUCCAAUGUUACAAAUGUAAAUGCUAUGACCAUAUUUCAACGGAUUGUCCUUCUAAAAAAGAGAUUUGUGGUUUUUGGCCGUUACACCUAUUCACCCCCCUCUAGGUGUUUGAUACAAUCUAGAUAGAUCCUAGGGCUCCUUAAAACUCACAGCAUACUACCCGCUUCAUUCAAUAAGAGUAUGAACUAGGCUACAUUAGUAGGGCAACAAGGCCUCGGGAAGAGAGAAAAAAGAGAGGGAGAGAGAGAGAAACAACAAACAGCAGACCCCCCCAAAAAAAAAAGAGAAAAGAAAUCCAAAAAUAAAAAUAAAACCUAUAUAUUAUGAAUUGUGAUAUAUUAACUGCCUUUAACUGCCUUCAGUUAUAGUGUCGCGCCCCGGGACCGAUCUCUUUGGCCGAUCCGGGCACGUCGAACAGACGCCGAGUGGACAGCACCUUCCUUGUCCGCCCAAGGCUCGACUCAUGUACAAUUCAAGUAAAGAAUGCACAAGCGGAAACAUACAUAAUGGCUUGCAUGAGGAUAAGCAAUAGCCAAAGUGAAAGAAUUAUAAUCUAUACAACCAUACAAGUACUAUGAUUCAUUUUGAUCACAUACAUGCAUAUACUUUUCACUCACAUUCAUAUCCCACAUUUACCUAUAUAUUCUUUUCCAUAUACAUGCUUUUCAUAAUUUCUUUUCUUUACAUCACAAUGUCUCCAAAGUAGGACCUUACAUUUGACCAUCUUUAGUACAUUUGCACCAUUCAUAUACCUAUAAUCAUCAAAUAACAAAAGAUGAUAUAAUAAUGGUAUGCAACUACAAAAUAUGAAAUCCGACUCGGGUGGUCACUAUUUAUGGCGCGAUAUCUUUACCGCAGUCGUCCGCCGGCUCACUCGGUCUCAGCUCUGUGGAAAUAGUGGGGUGAGAACUACAACAAAGUUCCCAGUGGGUUCAGCCCUCAACUUCGCCGACUUUCCCACUAGGUCUAACUCAGGCAUAAUAGAAUGAAUAAGCAGAUAGAUAGGUAACCAAUUAUACAAAUGCAGCUAAUAUGCCUGAACAAUAAUAUUCAAUAAUCAUGCUGAAUGAAGUGUUCAUGAUGAAUGCAGGUUCUCAUUUCUCAUUGUUUAAUCUCAUGGCUAACCCGUAGGUGUCACCCAAUGCAACUCACCAACUCAUAAUCCCAAGUAUCGGAGAGAAAUACCUACAACCUGAACGGGACCGUCGUCUGGGGAGAACUACUACGACCCAGUGAUGACUACUCCGAAGCUCAUCGCUCGAGGGGGAGCUACCACCCUCCGAGCCAUGACGUAAGGCGAGUAUGAUCCAAUCCUUAACUCUAAGGAUUCCAAGUUCAAUCCAUUCCUUAAAUAUAAGGAAGCAAUGCUCAUGUGACUCUUAACUAUAAGGUUGUUAUGUCACAAUGCCAACUCUCACAUGCACUUAGCAUUCUCUACUUUCUUUUAGUGUCAUUUAUGCUACAUGUUCUUGUACUCCAUCUCUAGCAUUUAAUACUCAUUAAUGCCAUACACUAACUCUAGUGUUUCAAUGCUCUAGCAUUCACGUUCUCAUUAAUGCCACACACUAACUGUAGUGUCAUCGUUGCAUUUACUAAUGCCACUCGAUCUAAAUGUCAUAGUGUCACAUUGUUCUUUGCCUCAACUAGGUUUUCAUAUCACAAUUCAUGCAUCAUAGGGUUCAUAGGUUCUCAACAAUCUCAUAAUGCAUUUGUACUCACAACAUGCAACAAUUUAUAUAACACCGAUCUCAAUUACCCUAUAAUGCAUGCAAUCCAAUAUAUGCUCAAGAGUGACACAUUAGGCAUAAAGGAAAGUUCAAAGAUUUUGAGAAGCACCAUCCACCUCGUAGGUUUGCUAAGGUGCUCGGGUUCAAGUUCCACGAUUUUUAGCCGCCUAUAUCCUUGCCUGCGGUAAAAUGAAGCCAAAUUAGGCUUUUUCGCUCCUAUCAUUGCAUAGACUUUUCGUUUCGACGAACCGAGUGUACCAACGCGUCGGAAAUACCCCAAAUUAGGUUUCUAUAAGGUCAAUUAGACCUUAGAACCAUUCAAUGCAAAAGCCCCAAAUUUGGGUGCCCUAGCCAUGUCACAUAUACUCAUACCCCAUUUUGAUCUCUACCAUAAGCAAGAAUAACCUUAUUAUCAUCUAGAGGUUCCAUUAAAACCAUUCCUAGGUCAAUCAAUUCCCAUUUUAGGGUUCUACCAUGAGAGGGCUUAAAUCUUACCUCUAAAAGCUCCCUUUCUUGCACCUAGGAAGAAGAAGAAGAAGAAGCUCCACCCUUUUGCCUUCUUCUCCACUAAACUCUCCUCCUUGCUCCACCUCUUGAGAGAGAGAGAGAGAUUCUAGAGAGAGAGGGAGAGAGAGAGCCUUGAGUGUGUGUGUGUGUGAGAGAAAUGAGAGAAAACUCACAUUUGCCUCUUUGCAUAUCCCACUUGAUGCACAAAUGCAUUUGGGCCCCUCAACUUUGUCCAUAUCACACUGCCCAGACUGGGCAAUUUCGAGCUGCGGGGACAGGUCUCUCUAGCAGGGUCCGGUCCUCGAGAGCACCUCUUCGUAGUCUACGCAGCCAAGGUCCGGUCUCCCACUGAAGGACCGGUCCCCGAGAGCACAUUUUGUGCAAACUGGCCUUUUUGCAUUUCCACACGUAUGGGGUCCGGUCCCUCCCACCAGGGACCGGUCCCCGAGAACACAAAACCUGCAAUUGUGCAGUUUUGCAUUAGCUUGCUCUCCGAGACCUCCUACAAUGCACUUUGUGCAUUUUUGACGCAUCCGGCCUUUCCGAAGCAUUUUUGACGCAUCCGGCCUCUCCGAGACCUCCUACAAUGCACUUUGACCAAUUUGGCUAAAGUUCGAUAGCUUCUACCGAAGUUUUGGUAUAUUACAUAUAGUGAUCUUUCUAAAGCUGCCUUAAUUUACGAAUUUCGCUUAGUGUGCAGUCUAUAUUGUUUUCCAAAUUCUGAAAUAUUCUGUUAUUUCUCUCCAGCCAUACAAGCCACUAGACCACUCUAAGCGUUAGAAAGCUUUUUCUCCUAUUUGGAUUUCGACAUGCUUCCCAAAGAUUUGUAGUUGUCGUGUUGCUUAAAAUAGCAUUAGUAUUAGGUAGGAGACACAGGAGCAAGUAUUGUUAGAUGUAUGCCCUAGAAGCCAACCAGGCCGACACAUGUAUUUUUUCUAGAACAUAAAUUUGUAUUUGACUUUAAAAUAUUAUGAAUAAAUUUGGGUUCUUAUUUUCAUUCAUGUUGUGUAUGUGUCGAUGAAUCGCCCAAGAAAUUAAUAAGAUGAUGACAUAUAUUCUCAAGCGUUGAGAAUUUGAGACAUGUGUCAUUGGUGGUUAAUUCCUUAAUGCUCCCGAUCAAUAGAUCAUCACGGGGACGGUGAUUGAUCCGGUAAGAUCGGUGCAUAGGUCGCUUACCUUUUUGGGUAGACGGGUCUCGAGUCAACAGUGUGGGGACACUGAAGCGAAUAUGUAGGUUGUUGUUAGAGAACAAGGGUACCGAGCGUGACCAACGCAAGAAGUCACUUGAAUGUCUACUUACUCGUCAGUGACUUACUCAAUGUUGAAAUAGUGUGACUGGUCCUUUGACCUGUGAUGCCUCGGCUAUUCACAAUGAGGUUACUGUAGUUUGACUGUAUAUACACUUGGUCCCUGACCAUUCGGAUCCUUGCGGUGCAUGUUGGCUGCACUAGGUUCACUGUAGGAAUAGAGUGCGCACUUAGAUAGAAUCUAUCUCCUUUGGUAGAUAGGGGUGUUAGUCCUAUGUGAUUUAUGAGACCGAGCUUAGAAGACCUUGGUUAGGGCAGAGUUAAUAGCGGAAAAGGGUUUCCGAUAUUAAAACUCGAGUCGAAUAAAUUUAACACAUGACAGACGAUGGGGUUUGACGAGUUAUUCUAUAACCUCCGUCUAGUCGAGACUCAUGAUAGAAGGAUUGUAUCACACGGUAACUGCACCAAGAGAUUCAGUAUUCCAUUCUACUAGAAUGCCACUACAUGCUGCUAGGCACCACUAGUGGAUUGUGAGACUCAUGAGAAUUAUCUAGAUGAUCGAUAAUUCUCAUUGGGCUGAGUUGGAAUUAUUCCGAUCCACUGAAAGGAGUUUCAGUGAUAUUGUUGAUAGUGAUCAAAACAUAUCUCACUACCAGAUAGAAUAGAACCUAUGGGGUCACAUACAUAAGAGGUUGUGAUUGAUCAGAUAGCUAGAUCGCGAUUAUUGAAUCACCGGAGGACCUAAUUAUCAAUAUGUUGAUAAUUGGACUAAUUUAUAAUUGUUACAAAUUAGUGGUAUUAAAGUGUAAAUAUUACUAGAGAGGAUUUACUAAUAGUUAGUAAAUUAUAAGAGGACUUAUGUGCAAAUAUUGCAUUAUUAAUUUGAUAUGAUUAAAUUAAGAUAAAGUUCAAGUCGAAUCAAAUUAGGAUUUGAUCGGUCUAACAAAUUAAGGAAAUGAUAAAUUUAAAUCUAGAUUUGUACUUAUUCUUAAUGGUUAUUAUAUUAUUAAAAGAGGACUAUAUCCCUAUAUAUAAUAUAUGAGAGUUUUUAAAAAAUCCUAGCCGUCAUCUUUCUUCUUCUCUCUCUUCUAUCUUUUAGCAAAAAAAGUCCUUUGCAAGGGAGCUAGCACCCAGGUGAGGACAUCGAUCAAAUCAACAACCUCGUUUGGAUACCCAUAAUGGCUGGACGCGUGUGCGGCUGUAACGACCCAGCCCACUAGCAAUAAUAACUCGUUGGGCCAAACUACCGGCCCGAAAUACUUAAGCCCAGUUAUUAUUACUAGUGUCUAAGUCUCUUAUAUACCCAAUCACAUCCCCAUUUCUAUCCGAUGUGGGAUUAUUGGGGUGUGACAGACUCCCCCCGUUAAGGCCCUGACGUCCUCGUCAGUCUAAUCACAUACACAGCCCAAGAUCAUCAGGCAAUGUAAGACUCGUCUCGCUAGCCUUGUCAUCCAGACCCUAACAUAGCCCGUCACCUCGUCAUUCAGACUCCGGCAUAGCGUGUCACCUUGUCUUUCAGACCCUGGCUCAGCCGAGACUCGCCACACAUUUUCGGCUGGUGAACUGGCUCUGAUACCAAAUGUAAUGACCUAGACCACUAGCAAUAAUAACUCAUUGGGCUAAACCACUGGCCCAAAAUACUUAAGUCUAGUUAUUAUUACUAGUGUCUAAGUCUCUUAUAUAUCCAAUCACAUCCCCAUUUCUAUCCGAUGUGGAAUUAUUGGGGUGUGAUAGCGGCUUCAAGAGAACCCAAUUCUACGAUCAUCAAAUUGAGGUGAAGAUCUAUCCGCGCAAAAGGUAAAAAUUCGAUCUUAUUUUUCUCUUUUAAUCAUAAAGAACAUGAGGAAUCUUGAUUGUGUGGUUUUUGAGAUUGGAUCUCGAGAGUUUUCAAAAUCAAAUUUGUUUGAUUUUUUUUCGCGUUUUUAUCGUACGCAAUUUUCUAACAGUGGUAUCAGAGCCAUCCUCAAUCCUCUUGUUUUUCAAUAUUAAAAUUAUGAAUUUGGGUAUUUUAAAUCGUUCUUCGCCGGUCGAACGAUUUAUAGAUCGUUUUUUAUUGAUUCGAAAAAUCGUCAGCUGAUUAAACAAUUUAAUCUAUUGUUGCAAGCAAAAAAAAAAAAAAAAACUGUAGCGUCCGUACGGACGCUACUGUACUAUCCGUACGGAAUUUUUUAAAAUUUUUUUAAAAAUAAUUUGAUUAGAUCGUUUUAAAAUAAUAAAAAGAAAAGAGGUGGAUCAAAUUUAAUUAUAUAUAUCAAAUUAAUAUCUUGAUGAGAUCAAGUUGUUUUGUUUGAAAAUUAAGUUGUUGAUCAAAAUUAUAAACGAUCAAUAAGAUUGAUUGUUUUUAAUAAUUUAGUCAUUGAUUUUUCGAAUCAUCGUUGAACGGUUAAUUAGAAUACCCAAAAUUAAUUAUUAUGUAUGUGAUGUAUGAGAUACAUAUCGAUGAUGAUCAUGGAUAGCGACCUAUUUAUUUUUGUUUUGAUAUGUGAUGUAUGAUGUGUAUGCAGAAUCCUGUAAUUUUAAAUUUGUUUAAAUAAGAACUUUGUAUUAGAGAUGGCUUUUUUGUGCCUGUGUGCACAAGCCGAUUUAUUUGGAGACCUGUGUGUCACAAUAGGUUAGAAAUAAAAAUGAUCAAAUGUAAUUAAUUUUUAUUUCAUUUUUAUUGUUAGGUUGUAUAAUGUAUGGUUGCACGUCAUUGGUUGAUCGGUUGCUAGCCGAGAGGUACGCAAAGACUUAAUCGAGAUGAAUAGUUGAUGGUGGUCGGAUCAAGAUGUUGAUAGGAUCGGAUCAAAUUAUAGCUCCGGAUCGAAUCAAGUAGUUGAAGACGAUCAAACUAAUGACGUGUGUGUGCUUGUAAUUUAUGACCCUAAGACCCCGAUUCCGACUUAGUGGCUCGAGUCCGAAUCCACUUCUAAGAUCCAUGAUCAUCACCAGCUAAAUUAUAUUUUUCAUGUGCAUAUUGUUUUUAUUUGCAUUAGAUGUAAAUAAAUAAAAUAAAAUUUGAGACUUAAAUUUUAAUCUCCUCACAAAUACUAAGUCGAGCGGUCUUUCGCCGUUGUAGAAGUGCGGGCGUUUUUCUGGUGUUGAUUGGCACGGCUGGUUACAGUGGUCAGUUGCAUCGGGAAGGCGCAACCACUCUAUUAGCAUGAGAUGCUGCGGAGUAAAGAUAGGGUUGGGCCCAAUAACUGUCAAGUGAGGGACCCAAUGACGGUUUUACUUACGCAUUUGAACGGUGGGUCUGACUUAACUAAGGAAUGGGCCAAUAACUGUUAGGUGAGGCCUACAGGAUUUUGUAAGGACUGAGAUUUUGGCAGUGCAGCUAAACUCUCUGUUGAUGAUGUUUCUGUGUGUAAUUUAAUUACAUAAGCACUCAUCAAGUUUUAGGAGAAAACGAGUUAGAAGGGAGAUUCUACGCGACUUUUACUUUUCACUUAAGUGAAUAGUAACUCCGAUUUUCCGGAGAAGCCACGAAGUAGAGUUGGCUUUCGGCGCGUAUCAGACUUCGUUCAUAGCGGUCCAAUAGCUCGUUUUGAACGGUUCAGCUAUUCUGGAACCAAUAGCCCUGACAGAUUUCAGAUCUGAUGCAUGGUUUUCGAGAAAAAGGGGUUUGAUUGGAUUUAUAUAUAUAUAUAUAUAUGUGUAUAUAUAUGUGUUUUAUAGUGGAAAUAUUGAGGGUGGGUUUCGUCGCAAAUCGACGACCAAAUUAGAUCAAAUGAAAAGCUAGUUCGAUGCCCUUGUCGUGUUGAACGCGCUGGUGUGAUCCGUUCGGAAAUUCGACAGAUGGAUCGUCGAGAAUCGAUAUUUGCUGAGGGGUCGAAUUGGCAAAAACGGAAUUUCGCGAAAGGUCCAAUAUUUAAUGUACCGUUUGGUGCGAUUUCCAACGUCGAGGUGCGGGCGUGCAAAGUGCUCAUGCUGUCAAGGCUGGACCAUAAAUACUUAUCUUUGGGAGGGGUUUUUUGCAAAUUGUCCAUAGUAUAUAUAUGGGCAGCUAGGGUUUUCUUGCACAAACCCUAGCCCUAGCUGACCCAUCACCUCCCUGCUAACCCAAGCUGACCUCAGCCCUUCCCUGCCCUCGUCGUGCUCGCGCCCCGGCCGCCGGCAAGCUGCUCCGGCCGCUGGAAGAACCUCCCUCUCAACUCCUCUCUCCAUUUGUUCCUACCACUGUGGCUGUCGGCCUCUGGAUGUCACCAUAACCCGUGGAGUCUUCAUCCUCUGGCGCGGCCCAUCUCCGGCGCCGUCCCCGCCUGCCUCUGCUGUCUCGGGGCGCCGCAGGAGCCCCUGUGCAAGCUAUGCCCAAACCGAGCCAACUCAGGCCAAGUUGACCUAGGCUCGGGACUCGCGAGUAGUGGAAGCCCAAGCUCGGCUGUCCCGUCGUCGUCUGGCUGCCGGCGUCCUCUCGCGCGCCCCCCCGCAGUCCCCGNCUGUGUAAGCUGCGGCCAAACCGAGCCAACUCAGGCCGAGUUGACCUAGGCUCGGGACUCGCGAGCAGUGGAAGCCCAAGCUCGGCUGUCCCGUCGUCGUCUGGCUUCGGGCGUCCUCCCGUGAGCACCCCCGCCGUCCCCGCGCGCCGCCGGCCGCCGUUCGAGCUCCCUGCGGCCGCCCAGACUUGGUGCGGGCCGAGGAUGGGCUUCCCUCCUAUCCGCACGUCGCCGCCGCCCACAACGGGGAGCACCACCCUUCCCACGGCCUUCGGCGACGGAUCGUCGUCGCCCCGAGCUCCUCCGGCCGCCGCCGGGCCGCCGCGGACCACUUGAACCCGAGAGCAAGCCGCGGCUUGAUCUCCUCCGCCGCGCCACCGGCCGCCGCCCGCUGCUGGCCAGCACCUGCCCCGGACCUCUCCGACCAGACGCACCCUUCCCCGGCCGGAUCGCCUGUCGCCCGGCCACCGGCGACCAACCCUAGCUCCACUACCUAGGUAAGGCUGUAAUUUUGUUGACAACACUGUAGUUUGGAGUUUCGGUCACCUUUCCGGUGAUCCGAGGACACUUCGACACCCCAGGAAGUGAGCACGAUAAUCUUGGAUUCGUGUUGAACAUCGUGCUCACCUCCGCAGGGUCAACGAUGCCCUGGUUAGCGAAUUAAACGUGAUCUUAGCGCUGUGCGCGCUAUUUUGCUAAUUUCUGCAUCGCUUAUGCGCGUGCCACAGUGGCCGGCAGUGCUCUAAAAGGUAAACACGGCCUUCGGCACGUCGAGACCUAUCAGCUGGUGUUUCGGUUUGGCUGAUUGACCUCUGGUUUGCGUAGACGGAGCAUAAAAGCCCAGAAAUCACAUAAAAUAAUAUGAUUUUAUGCAUUUGGGAGGGCUUUUAUGCAAUUAUGGUUAUUGUAGUCGCUGUUGGCAGCAUGUGUGGGCAGAGGGUAACCUCUGGACUGAUUGUCCAAGGCCCUAGGCCCUUUACGGAAUCGGAGAGUGAUUUUCGGUGCGUUUUUCGGCAAAAUUCGCUUAUAGAACGCGUUUUCGGUUUGGAAUUCUUCCGACGGUGUUUCGUGGUCGAUUGGUGAGUCGCUGAGCCUGGUUGGCUGGUCACCCGUGUCGUUUUGGGUGUUUGGAAACGACUGGUGAGCGACGGUGGGUUCCGGUGUUGAAAUUGACACUUCUGGGAACCCGGAUCGGAACGAUUAUCCGACGGUAAUCGUUUCGGAGUGAGAUAAUGUUUUGGCUGCCAAGUCACACGUAAAUUCGUGUUUUGUGGCAGCAGUAGACUCAUAUCUUGAGUUGGUGAGUUUCGGGACAGUUCGUGGGUCCCGGCGGAAUCUCGAUACGGUUUUCGGGACUUCCGGUGAGUUCGGCAAUCGGUUUUGGGAAACCGAUUCCCGUAGAUAUAAUUGUGGGGUUAUGUGUUAGUGUUUUAUAUUUGUGGGUUAGAUACUAACCCGGUGGACCCUCCGUAGGUCCAGUUUACGAUCUUUCGCAGUCAGAAGACAGACGCGACAUUCGUACAGGUGAAUACUUCGAUCCGACGUCGGUAUAGUGGUGCACAUUCGGUGAUGGUUUCUUACCUUUGCCCUCUUAUUAUUAUUCGUGCUUAUACUAUAUGUUGAGCCUAGCACCCACGUUGUUUGGUUUUACUCUACUCAGAUGUUUUCAUGCUUAGUAUCAUGUGUAGGAGUAGAGUAGUUUAUCUGUAUGUGAUACCAUGUUUCCUUGUUGCUUUACUUGCCUGUUCUACAUAUCCUGUAUCAUGUCUAGAGUAGAGCGGUUUCGUGACUAUCUCUGAGAUGGUGACCUAGUCGGUCAGUGCAUUGUAUCUGUUUUCAUGACCUGAUUGGUCGGUCGUUGUAUCUCGUGUCGGUUCCUUGACUUCUGUCGUUCGAUAACCGUUGAGGUCGAUAUACCCUGAGGGGUUGGAUUGUCGGCUAAUGGUCGACGGCAGUUCUGGAUUCUAUUUAUACACUCUGGUGACCUAUUCAUCGAUUCGUCAUGCAUAUAUGUUAGUUGACUUGAGUAGUCAGCACUUGUAUACCUUCGGUAGGAUGUUGAGUUGUUCCAUCCUAGUUGACCUGGUUGGUCGGUUCUCCUAUGUGGUAUCUGUGACCUGGUUGGUUGAUGUUCAUAUAUUAUACCAGUGACCUGGUUGGUCGAUUAGAUUACUUGAUGACCUAUACGGUCGAUGUGCCCCGAGGGGCUGUGAUUGUUGGCUGGUUGCCGACGGUUGGCCUUUGAGCAUAUCAGCAUUGAUCGUCCGAGACUCGUUCUCAUUUCACGAACACCAGCGAUCUGAUCCACCGCAAGAGGGUGUUCUUUUCCGGAAAAGUGGUUGCAGGUGCCAACUCGUGAGCCCUAGAGGGGUUAUAUGCAUGGUAGAGUGGCAGUGGUACUGUCAGGAGGUCUCCGGUGUGAACCUCCAGGGCACAGGCUUGAGGUUUGCGGUGUGGACCAACAGAGCAGCAGAUUUCAGAUUGGGUAUAUUUGGUUUAUACAUCCGGUUGACGCAUAUGUCUAUAGUAGCAGUUAUUGCAUGCAUACUUACAAUUCUUUCCAUAUACUUGUCUUGUUACUAUAGUUUUGAUACCCAUGUAUGCAUUCAGUUCUUCUUUACGAUAGCGGUAGUUGUUCUUUUACAUCCCGUUUAUGUAUUAUCGUUGCUACUGUAUUUUGUAUAUCUGCUCAUGAUCUUAUUUAUCUCUUUCUGAUCCGGUGAGUACUCCUCGCCUUCAUCGACUUGCGGUACCCACUGGGAGGGGAGACAUAUUUACAUGUUCUCACCUCCCCCACCAUUUUUCAGGUAUUGCGGGCAGUGAGGGUUGAGACAAGAUAUGAGACAUGUUCGUAGCGGUCGAUAGAGCUUUCGACUCGGUUGGUUUGGUUUAGUUACUACCCCUUUACUUCUGUUGAUAUAUGACUUAGACAGUUAUUUGGUUUAGUUGUUAUUACUUAUGAAUUCACAUGGUUUUAUGAAAGUAGUAAAAGGAAUUGUGGAUUUUGUGAAUCAGAAAAUUAUUUUCUACCCCUCGUGGUAGUGUUUUAAAAGAAAAAGGGUUUCCGUGUAGAAAACAGAUUUGAAAAAGGUAUUCUUGUGAUUUUCAUAAACUAGUAUUUGAAAAUGUGUUUCCGGGUAGAAAACAUUUAAACUAAUAGUUAUGGAUUUCUGAAUAAACCCGGAAUGUGAUUCUGUGGUGAAUGGUGUAUGAAUAUGAAUGUCUUUAUGUUCAGAUGUGGUUGUAUCCUGUUUGUAUCUUGUACUUCUGCGACGCCAUGCAAAUACAGGGGAGACUCUAUCCAUGUGAACAGUGGACUCCCUAUAUUUGCGGCGGAUCUGGCAUACCUUCGGGGUCAGGUUUUCAGAAAAAAAAUUUUCGUUGCGUUUUUAGACUACAAAAAGUCCCCGAGGCGUGACAGAUUUGGAGACCGAUCACUGCAAUUUGCUUGAGAAGCAUUGGACAAGAGUUGUCCAUUCAUUGGUUAGCAUAUCACCAAUAACUAUUAGGUGAGGUGGUAUGUUAAACUGGUGGGACCGCAGUACCCACUUGAAAUCUUUUGUCGCAUUGGGUUUCCGUUUCUCUACCCGAGGAGUGUAAGAGACUCGAGAAAAUAGCGGGAGGCUAAAAUUUGUUUUUAAAAUCCCUAAAACAAAAUUUUCAAAACAAAUACAAAUAUCUAACUUGAAUUUUUUACUUUCUGCAAAACAAAUGUCUGCUUCAAAUUAUCUCUCUCGUAUUUUUGAAACAAACCGCUUAACCAUAACUAAUUAUAAAGACUGGCUAUGAAACUUAAAAAUAGUUUUAAAUUCUAAGAAGCUCUGCAAUGUUCUCGACCAGGAAAACUUCACGUUACUAAACCAUUCAAUAACUAAUCAAAGGGCAGUCUGUACAUGAUCAAACAAUGAUCAAAGACCUCAAGGAGCUUGAGAAGCUUGGCGUGAAAAUGGACAAGGAAUUGCAAGUUGAUCUGAUCCUAUAAUCCCUUCCUAUAUCAUAUGGAUAUUUUAUUGUAAACUACCAUAUAAAUAAAAUUGACUGCACCAACGCGGAGUUAUUGAACAUGUUGGUAACUAUAGAGAGAAGUUUGAAAAAUUCAAAGGACUCGGUUCUCGCUGUGGAGCGGGCUUCCUCUCCAAAAGAACGUCUAAUUGGAUGAAGAAAUCCGCAAAGAAACAAAAGACGAAGAAUAAGCCCAAGAGGGAAGCUCUUAAGAAGAAGGUCGCUAACAAAGAAAAAUGUUUCUACUGCAAUGUUGAUGGUCAUUG
This 37552-nucleotide long non-coding RNA is filed under the name Ananas comosus (pineapple). Its description in RNAcentral is "long non-coding RNA (ACOM_LNC015022)". The record is from RNAcentral. Lineage: Eukaryota; Viridiplantae; Streptophyta; Magnoliopsida; Poales; Bromeliaceae.